AUUGAACGCUGGCGGCAGGCCUAACACAUGCAAGUCGAACGGUAACAGGAAUCAGCUUGCUGAUUUGCUGACGAGUGGCGGACGGGUGAGUAAUGUCUGGGAAACUGCCUGAUGGAGGGGGAUAACUACUGGAAACGGUAGCUAAUACCGCAUAACGUCGCAAGACCAAAGAGGGGGACCUUCGGGCCUCUUGCCAUCGGAUGUGCCCAGAUGGGAUUAGCUAGUAGGUGGGGUAAACGCUCACCUAGGCGACGAUCACUAGCUGGUCUGAGAGGGUGACCAGCCACACUGGAACUGAGACACGGUCCAGACUCCUACGGGAGGCAGCAGUGGGGAAUAUUGCACACUGGGCGCAAGCCUGAUGCAGCCAUGCAGCGUGUAUGAAGAAGGCCUUCGGGUUGUAAAGUACUUUCAGCGGGGAGGAAGGGAGUAAAGUUAAUACCUUAGCUCAUUGACGUUACCCGUAGAAGAAGCACCGGCUAACUCCGUG
This 490-nucleotide ribosomal RNA is filed under the name uncultured bacterium. Its description in RNAcentral is "partial 16S ribosomal RNA". It matches the Rfam family "Bacterial small subunit ribosomal RNA", at positions 30 to 507 of the family's 1533-position model. The record is from RNAcentral.